GUGGCUGGUCUGUCAACGGUUUCGGCUUGGCCAGUCUGUUUCAGUGGGGGACAAAGUGGACACGACUAGAAGCCAUCAAGGAUGCCGUGUGGCUGAGGUCGGAGUUGGUCGGUGCUCAGUGGCUCUUCGGAAAAUGGUGGGGACACACUUGAGGAGGAGAACUGACACUACAUGUGGAACUUUGAGUGUCAGCUGAUGAAACAAGACAAUAUCUGCUGAUGCCUGCACAGCCAUUGCAGCUGCAACUACAGCCUGCACACAAAUUGCCGUUGCUUGUGCAACUGCAUCAAGCCUAGUUGAAUAGUAUGCUACUAGCCUGAGUUUUGCGGCAUGUUUUUGCAACAAAACUGAGGUCAUGUGAACGUUUCGACAAUCAACUGUCUGAUCAAAUGGUUUUUCAUAAUUUGGCAAUGUCAAUACUGCUGUUCCUGCCAAAAUAAUUUUUCAUUCACAAAAUGCUCUUUCUCCUUCCUCUGUCCAUUGAAAUUUGUCUGACAUUUUCAUUGGUGUUUCAUAAAUCAAAUUUUGCAACGGUGUUAUCGCUGCAUAAUUAGCCACCCAACUCCUGCAAUAUUUGCACAAGCCCCAAAAAGACAUAAUCUGUCGUUUUGUUUCAGGUUGUGGAGCUGACAAGAUGGCUUCUUUUCUCAUUGGGUCCACAUGAUGACUCCUUGCAGUCAACAUAUGACCUAAAUAUUUCACUUCUGUCACACAAAAUUGUAAUUUAGUUUUGUUCACUUUAUUUCUCCAUAUAUAUCCUCCAUCCUACAGAUAUGGGUGCUCUCUUUACUGGAAAUACUGGUGUAUUGCAUGGUAAAUCUGGACAUUCAAUUAAUACUCCUGCUACAGAAGCUGGCUCUAGGGACGUGGAAUGUCACCUCUCUGGCAGGGAAGGAGCCCGAGCUGGUGUGUGAAGUUGAGAAGUUCCGACUAGAUAUAGUCGGACUCGCCUCCACGCACAGCUUGGGCUCUGUUACCAGUCCUCUCGAGAGGGGUUGGACUCUCUUCCACUCUGGAGUUGCCCACGGUGAGAGGCGCCGAGCAGGUGUGGGUAUACUUAUUGCCCCCCGGCUUGGCGCCUGUACGUUGGGGUUCACCCCGGUGGACGAGAGGGUAGCCUCCCUCCGCCUUCGGGUGGGGGGACGGGUCCUGACUGUUGUUUGUGCCUAUGCACCAAACAGCAGUUCAGAGUACCCACCCUUUUUGGAGUCCUUGGAGGGGGUGCUG
Phycodurus eques (leafy seadragon) is the source of this 1227-nucleotide long non-coding RNA. RefSeq lists it as uncharacterized. The record is from RefSeq and is a predicted model, not a curated record. The transcript is spliced from 3 exons. Lineage: Eukaryota; Metazoa; Chordata; Actinopteri; Syngnathiformes; Syngnathidae.